GUGGGGAAUCUUGGACAAUGGGCGCAAGCCUGAUCCAGCGACGCCGCGUGGGUGACGAAGGCCUUCGGGUUGUAAAGCCCUUUUCCCGGGGACGAUGAUGACGGUACCCGGGGAAUAAGCACCGGCUAACUCCGUGCCAGCAGCCGCGGUAAGACGGAGGGUGCUAGCGUUGUUCGGAAUGACUGGGCGUAAAGGGCGCGUAGGCGGCUCGUGAAGUCGGGUGUGAAAGCCCGGGGCUCAACCCCGGAACGGCAUCCGAUACUGGCGGGCUUGAGACCGGGAGAGGAGGGUGGAAUACCCAGUGUAGAGGUGAAAUUCGUAGAUAUUGGGUGGAACACCGGUGGCGAAAGCGGCUCUCUGGCCCGGAUCUGACGCUGAGGCGCGAAAGCGUGGGGAGCAAACAGGAUUAGAAACCCGUGUAGUCC
RNAcentral lists this ribosomal RNA (425 nucleotides) under uncultured bacterium. RNAcentral's name for it is "bacterial SSU rRNA". It matches the Rfam family "Bacterial small subunit ribosomal RNA", at positions 354 to 796 of the family's 1533-position model. The record is from RNAcentral.